GACGAACGCUGGCGGCGUGCUUAACACAUGCAAGUCGAACGAUGAAGCUGGAGCUUGCUCCGGUGGAUUAGUGGCGAACGGGUGAGUAACACGUGAGCAAUCUGCCCUUGACUCUGGGAUAACUGCGGGAAACUGUAGCUAAUACCGGAUACGAGACCUGAAGGCAUCUUCGGGUCUGGAAAUCAUUUCGGUCAAGGAUGAGCUCGCGGCCUAUCAGCUUGUUGGUGAGGUAAUGGCUCACCAAGGCGACGACGGGUAGCCGGCCUGAGAGGGUGACCGGCCACACUGGGACUGAGACACGGCCCAGACUCCUACGGGAGGCAGCAGUGGGGAAUAUUGCACAAUGGGCGAAAGCCUGAUGCAGCAACGCCGCGUGAGGGAUGAAGGCCUUCGGGUUGUAAACCUCUUUUAGCAGGGAAGAAGCGAAAGUGACGGUACCUGCAGAAAAAGCACCGGCUAACUACGUGCCAGCAGCCGCCGUAA
RNAcentral lists this ribosomal RNA (483 nucleotides) under uncultured bacterium. RNAcentral describes it as "partial 16S ribosomal RNA". It matches the Rfam family "Bacterial small subunit ribosomal RNA", at positions 28 to 523 of the family's 1533-position model. The record is from RNAcentral.